Molecule: ribosomal RNA, 388 nt
Filed under: uncultured bacterium
Lineage: Bacteria
Description: bacterial SSU rRNA
Rfam family: Bacterial small subunit ribosomal RNA
Source: RNAcentral
AAUCAACGCUGGCGGCGUGCCUCAGACAUGCAAGUCGAACGAGAAAGUUUCCUUCGGGAGACGAGUACAGUGGCAUCCGGGUGAGUAACACGUGGGUAAUUUACCUUUGGGUGGGGAAUAGCAGCCGGAAACGGCUAUUAAUACCGCAUAAUGCAGCGGCUCGACAUCGAGACAGUUGUUAAAGCGGGGAUCUGACAAGGACCUCGCGCCUAAAGAGAAGCCUGCGUCAGAUUAGCUAGUUGGUAGGGUAAUGGCCUACCAAGGCUGUGAUCUGUAGCCGGCCUGAGAGGGCGGUCGGCCACACUGACACUGACACACGGGUCAGACUCCUACGGGAGCAGCAGUCGGGAAUUUUGGGCAAUGGGCGCAAGCCUGACCCAGCAACGCC